Molecule: ribosomal RNA, 399 nt
Filed under: uncultured Erwinia sp.
Lineage: Bacteria; Pseudomonadati; Pseudomonadota; Gammaproteobacteria; Enterobacterales; Erwiniaceae
Description: bacterial SSU rRNA
Rfam family: Bacterial small subunit ribosomal RNA
Source: RNAcentral
AACGCGAAGAACCUUACCUGGCCUUGACAUCCACGGAAUUUGGCAGAGAUGCCUUAGUGCCUUCGGGAACCGUGAGACAGGUGCUGCAUGGCUGUCGUCAGCUCGUGUUGUGAAAUGUUGGGUUAAGUCCCGCAACGAGCGCAACCCUUAUCCUUUGUUGCCAGCACGUAAUGGUGGGAACUCAAAGGAGACUGCCGGUGAUAAACCGGAGGAAGGUGGGGAUGACGUCAAGUCAUCAUGGCCCUUACGGCCAGGGCUACACACGUGCUACAAUGGCGCAUACAAAGAGAAGCGACCUCGCGAGAGCAAGCGGACCUCAUAAAGUGCGUCGUAGUCCGGAUCGGAGUCUGCAACUCGACUCCGUGAAGUCGGAAUCGCUAGUAAUCGUAGAUCAGAAUG